GGGAGAAAGUCAAUCAUUAAAAAAAGAAAAAAGAAAAAAAAAGAAUUUUGUAUCGACAGUGUAUAUCUUCAUUUUAUGUCCAUACAUAAGACUAAUGGGUGUAAAACGGAGGGCGCAAAGUUUACCGAAGUAAGCGUGUAAUUUUGGAUUACAACGACUGCGUGUUAAAAUCUAGGUCUUAACCGCGGUCGAAUACGCGUUGCCAUGCGACGAAACUACGGUGCAGGCACUCAAAGGUAAUCGUGUACACCCUGAGUCGAGUGCGAGCAUAAUCCUCAUCUCAUCCCAUGCGGGUUUGACAACGGGAAGGGCUCUGUCACCUCGAGCACGAUUCAUGAAGGGCCGCUGGACUCAAAGCAUCCGCGUUCCGCAGUUUUAUGGAUGAUGCUAUUUUCUCGAUGACAAUACUCUUGGUACGUCCAUUCAUCGAACGAAGCUUAGAAUAAGGAAGAAAAGGAGAAAAGAUAAAAGAAGAAAAGAAGAAAGAAAGAAAGAAAGAAAGAAAGGAAGAAAGAAAGAAAGAAGUAAGGAAAGAAAGAAAGAAAUACAGACAGAUUACAUUCGUUGUGAUUUAUCUUUUAAACAUCAUCGUUGAUACAAAUAAACUUUUUCUUUCAGAUUUUUCAAAGGUAAAAUAUAAAUUCUCCUUCCUUCCUUCUAAACUUCCUUGAUCCAAGAAGUUGCUUGCGCGUCUUUCAAAGACUCUUCCUUAUAGAACGGAUUUAUUCAUCGAAAAUUAACGACCUCCCAUCGAGAUCCCAUUCAUCUCAAACUUAUCUCGAUCCUUACGAAGAAUUCCUUUUCGAGCAAUUGUUUCUCUUAAGGAGUGAGAAGAGGAAUGAGAAGAAAAAGAAGAAAUGGAAUGUGAAACUAUAGAAAACCGAUGGAUAUCGACAUAGUAACUUUAUCGCCACGUCUUUCGCAAGAAAAAAAGAGUUUGGAGAAAUAUUCGAUAAAGCUCAAAGGAUUCGUUAAAAGGAUUACCAUCCAUGACGGAAACGUACCUUUCCCAUGGCUUGGAAUUUGCUUUCGACAUUUGCGAUAUUAAAAUCGUUCUCGUUCCGAUCUCGUGGCAAAAGGCUACCGAUUAAAAACGCCUUUUUUAAUUUACAUUUUCGAUGUUUCUUUUUUGUUCUUUUUUGGUUCUUCUUUUUUGUCAAUCAUGUUGACGAGAAGUAACGACGAGAGUCGACGGAAGAGUAUAAACGACAACCGAGAAUCAUUUUCUUUAUUUUAUUCUUUUUCUCUUAAAAUAACGAAUCGGACCUAUCAAAUUCUUCUAACAAUUUUACGAGUAUCGUAAAGACGAGUCUAAGGGAAAAAAAACAAAGAAAAAAGAAAAAAGGGAAAAGGAAAAAGGAAAAAGAAGUUAACAAUCUUGGUUAGAUCGUAUACUGAACGUGAAAGAAUUAUUACGCGCUGUACUUUAUGUACAAUACACAUACACACGUCCGAGAAGUAUGUCACAGAGUUUUAUGACAAACUUCUGUAUAAAAGGAAAACAACGAGACGACCGGUCCGAAGGAUCCAAUCUGAUUUGUUAUAUAAAAAAAGUAGAAGAUGUAAAGAUAACAGAAAGAGAAAGAGAGAGAGAGAGAGAGAAGCAGAGAGAAAAAGAGAGAUAAAGAGAGAGAGGGAGAG
Vespa crabro (European hornet) is the source of this 1641-nucleotide long non-coding RNA. RefSeq lists it as uncharacterized. The transcript has 2 exons. The record is from RefSeq and is a predicted model, not a curated record. NCBI's taxonomy places the organism in Eukaryota, Metazoa, Arthropoda, Insecta, Hymenoptera, Vespidae.